Molecule: ribosomal RNA, 253 nt
Filed under: uncultured bacterium
Lineage: Bacteria
Description: partial 16S ribosomal RNA
Rfam family: Bacterial small subunit ribosomal RNA
Source: RNAcentral
UACGUAGGGGGCAAGCGUUGUCCGGAAUCAUUGGGCGUAAAGAGCGUGUAGGCGGCCCGGUAAGUCCGCUGUGAAAGUCCAGGGCUCAACCCUGGGAUGCCGGUGGAUACUGUCGGGCUCGAGUCCGGAAGAGGAGUGUGGAAUUCCUGGUGUAGCGGUGAAAUGCGCAGAUAUCAGGAGGAACACCAAUGGCGAAGGCGGUGCUCUGGGCCGGAACUGACGCUGAGGAGCGAAAGCGUGGGGAGCAAACAGG